RNAcentral lists this ribosomal RNA (2271 nucleotides) under Listeria welshimeri. RNAcentral's name for it is "partial 23S ribosomal RNA". It matches the Rfam family "Bacterial large subunit ribosomal RNA", at positions 662 to 2925 of the family's 2925-position model. Lineage: Bacteria; Bacillati; Bacillota; Bacilli; Caryophanales; Listeriaceae. The record is from RNAcentral.
GGAGCCGUAGCGAAAGCGAGUCUGAAUAGGGCGCAUAAGUAACAGGUCGUAGACCCGAAACCAGGUGAUCUACCCAUGUCCAGGAUGAAGGUAAGGUAAUACUUACUGGAGGUCCGAACCCACGCACGUUGAAAAGUGCGGGGAUGAGGUGUGGGUAGCGGAGAAAUUCCAAUCGAACUUGGAGAUAGCUGGUUCUCUCCGAAAUAGCUUUAGGGCUAGCCUCGAGGUAAAGAGUCAUGGAGGUAGAGCACUGUUUGGACUAGGGGCCCUUCUCGGGUUACCGAAUUCAGAUAAACUCCGAAUGCCAUGUACUUAUACUCGGGAGUCAGACUGCGAGUGAUAAGAUCCGUAGUCGAAAGGGAAACAGCCCAGACCACCAGUUAAGGUCCCCAAAUAUAUGUUAAGUGGAAAAGGAUGUGGGGUUGCUUAGACAACCAGGAUGUUGGCUUAGAAGCAGCCACCAUUGAAAGAGUGCGUAAUAGCUCACUGGUCGAGUGACCCCGCGCCGAAAAUGUACCGGGGCUAAACAUAUUACCGAAACUGUGGAUGAACCUCUUCGGAGGUUCGUGGUAGGAGAGCGUUCUAAGGGCGGUGAAGUCAGACCGGAAGGACUGGUGGAGCGCUUAGAAGUGAGAAUGCCGGUAUGAGUAGCGAAAGAAGGGUGAGAAUCCCUUCCACCGAAUAUCUAAGGUUUCCUGAGGAAGGCUCGUCCGCUCAGGGUUAGUCGGGACCUAAGCCGAGGCCGAUAGGCGUAGGCGAUGGACAACAGGUAGAGAUUCCUGUACCAGUGCUAAUUGUUUAACCGAUGGGGUGACACAGAAGGAUAGGGAAUCGCACGAAUGGAAAUGUGCGUCCAAGCAGUGAGUGUGAGAAGUAGGCAAAUCCGCUUCUCGCGAAGCAUGAGCUGUGAUGGGGAAGGAAAUAAAGUACGGAAGUUCCUGAUUUCACGCUGUCAAGAAAAGCCUCUAGGAAGAGUAGUACUGCCCGUACCGCAAACCGACACAGGUAGAUGAGGAGAGAAUCCUAAGGUGAGCGAGAGAACUCUCGUUAAGGAACUCGGCAAAAUGACCCCGUAACUUCGGGAGAAGGGGUGCUCUAUUAGGGUGCAAGCCCGAGAGAGCCGCAGUGAAUAGGCCCAGGCGACUGUUUAGCAAAAACACAGGUCUCUGCAAAACCGUAAGGUGACGUAUAGGGGCUGACGCCUGCCCGGUGCUGGAAGGUUAAGAGGAGUGCUUAGCUUCGGCGAAGGUACGAAUUGAAGCCCCAGUAAACGGCGGCCGUAACUAUAACGGUCCUAAGGUAGCGAAAUUCCUUGUCGGGUAAGUUCCGACCCGCACGAAAGGCGCAACGAUCUGGGCACUGUCUCAACGAGAGACUCGGUGAAAUUAUAGUACCUGUGAAGAUGCAGGUUACCCGCGACAGGACGGAAAGACCCCGUGGAGCUUUACUGCAACCUGAUAUGGAAUGUUUGUACCGCUUGUACAGGAUAGGUAGGAGCCGAAGAGACGUGUGCGCUAGCAUACGAGGAGGCAAUGGUGGGAUACUACCCUGGCUGUAUGACCAUUCUAACCCGCCACGCUUAGCGCGUGGGGAGACAGUGUCAGGUGGGCAGUUUGACUGGGGCGGUCGCCUCCUAAAGAGUAACGGAGGCGCCCAAAGGUUCCCUCAGAAUGGAUGGAAAUCAUUCGCAGAGUGUAAAGGCACAAGGGAGCUUGACUGCGAGACUGACAAGUCGAGCAGGGACGAAAGUCGGGCUUAGUGAUCCGGUGGUUCCGCAUGGAAGGGCCAUCGCUCAACGGAUAAAAGCUACCCCGGGGAUAACAGGCUUAUCUCCCCCAAGAGUCCACAUCGACGGGGAGGUUUGGCACCUCGAUGUCGGCUCGUCGCAUCCUGGGGCUGUAGUCGGUCCCAAGGGUUGGGCUGUUCGCCCAUUAAAGCGGCACGCGAGCUGGGUUCAGAACGUCGUGAGACAGUUCGGUCCCUAUCCGUCGCGGGCGCAGGAAAUUUGAGAGGAGCUGUCCUUAGUACGAGAGGACCGGGAUGGACACACCGCUGGUGUACCAGUUGUUCCGCCAGGAGCAUCGCUGGGUAGCUAUGUGUGGCAGGGAUAAACGCUGAAAGCAUCUAAGCGUGAAGCCCCCCUCAAGAUGAGAUUUCCCAUUUCUUCGGAAAGUAAGAUCCCUGAAAGAUGAUCAGGUAGAUAGGUUUGGAGUGGAAGUGUAGCGAUACAUGGAGCGGACAAAUACUAAUCGAUCGAGGACUUAACCAAAA